Molecule: ribosomal RNA, 747 nt
Filed under: uncultured Lachnospiraceae bacterium
Lineage: Bacteria; Bacillati; Bacillota; Clostridia; Lachnospirales; Lachnospiraceae
Description: bacterial SSU rRNA
Rfam family: Bacterial small subunit ribosomal RNA
Source: RNAcentral
AUGAACGCUGGCGGCGUGCCUAACACAUGCAAGUCGAACGAAGCAAUUAAGAUGAAGUUUUCGGAUGGAAUCUUGAUUGACUGAGUGGCGGACGGGUGAGUAACGCGUGGAUAACCUGCCUCACACUGGGGGAUAACAGUUAGAAAUGACUGCUAAUACCGCAUAAGCGCACAGUGCCGCAUGGCAGUGUGUGAAAAACUCCGGUGGUGUGAGAUGGAUCCGCGUCUGAUUAGCCAGUUGGCGGGGUAACGGCCCACCAAAGCGACGAUCAGUAGCCGACCUGAGAGGGUGACCGGCCACAUUGGGACUGAGACACGGCCCAAACUCCUACGGGAGGCAGCAGUGGGGAAUAUUGCACAAUGGGCGAAAGCCUGAUGCAGCGACGCCGCGUGAGUGAAGAAGUAUUUCGGUAUGUAAAGCUCUAUCAGCAGGGAAGAAAAUGACGGUACCUGACUAAGAAGCCCCGGCUAACUACGUGCCAGCAGCCGCGGUAAUACGUAGGGGGCAAGCGUUAUCCGGAUUUACUGGGUGUAAAGGGAGCGUAGACGGCGAAGCAAGUCUGAAGUGAAAACCCAGGGCUCAACCCUGGGACUGCUUUGGAAACUGUUUUGCUAGAGUGUCGGAGAGGUAAGUGGAAUUCCUAGUGUAGCGGUGAAAUGCGUAGAUAUUAGGAGGAACACCAGUGGCGAAGGCGGCUUACUGGACGAUAACUGACGUUGAGGCUCGAAAGCGUGGGGAGCAAACAGG